UACGAAGGGUGCGAGCGUUAUUCGGAAUCAUUGGGCGUAAAGGGUGUGUAGACGGUGUGCUAAGUCUGUUGUUAAAUACUCCAGCCUAACUGGAGACAUGCAGUGGAAACUAGCGCGCUAGAGGGUGGAAGAGAGAAGUGGAAUUCUCGGAGUAGCGGUAAAAUGCGUAGAUCUCGAGAGGAACACCAAUGGCGAAGGCAGCUUCUUGGUCCAUUCCUGACGUUGAAACACGAAAGCGUGGGGAGCAAACAGGAUUAGAUACCCUGGUAGUCCACGCUGUAAACGAUGAUCACUGGACGUCAGUUCUGUUUACAGAAUUGGUGUCGUAGCUAACGCGUUAAGUGAUCCGCCUGGGGACUACGGUCGCAAGAUUAAA
This 376-nucleotide ribosomal RNA is filed under the name uncultured bacterium. RNAcentral describes it as "bacterial SSU rRNA". It matches the Rfam family "Bacterial small subunit ribosomal RNA", at positions 524 to 898 of the family's 1533-position model. The record is from RNAcentral.